Macaca mulatta (Rhesus monkey) is the source of this 2503-nucleotide non-coding RNA. The record is from RefSeq and is a predicted model, not a curated record. NCBI's taxonomy places the organism in Eukaryota, Metazoa, Chordata, Mammalia, Primates, Cercopithecidae.
AAGGAAGAUGAAAAGGGACAUCCACACAAAGAGAUAGAGAUGGGAGUGUGGAGGCGGGGGGAGAAGGGGAGCCCAGCCCUCAGGUAGCAAGGCAGCCCCCUCUAAUAACCACAAUGAGGCUCCUCUCCCUUCCCUUUCCGUCCCCAGUGUCGGAGUAUCUGCUGGAGUGCGGUACGGAUGGAGGAGCUGGCUGACUGCAGUGAAGGAAAAGCCCCCUGUAGCCACAACCCCUCCCCAAGCACACACUCCAGGCUGCACACGACUCUGCCUCUUGUUAGCUGGGCAGCCUUGGGCAAGGGGGAGAACCGACUCCAGCCUCAGUUUCUUUCUCUUUACAUGGGGAUCCCCCUCCUUCCUUAGGUUGCCAAGAGGAUGAAAGUCACAAAUGGGCGUGGCGGGGCUUUGUUCCUUCUGAAGCUCAGGACAAAGCACUGGGCUUCCCUCCUGCCUGGGAGCCUCCAGUACAGCAUGGAGUUUGGCCACGUGAUGGGUGAGGAAAGGAUGGGGCCUGUGGCAUGGCUGGGGAGGCCAGGAGCAGCUGUACGAGGAAAUGAGGGCUCCUUGUCUCGGGUGGGGGCCGCUCUUGCUCUGUUCUCUCUCUCUCUCCCUUUCUCUUUCUCUUAUGUGGAGACUGGUAGCUCUGUUGCUAGGAGACAAGGAAACCCAGUUAUCACCAGCCACAGCAUUAGAUGGGACUCCGGUCUCCAUUGUCCCCACCUCUGCCUCUGGGGCGACUGUUACCCCUAAAGAGGGGCUCUCGGGUCCCCGCCAGCCCCACCAUCCUCCACAUGCUUUCGCCUGAGCCUUUUGUCUCGGGCUCACGCUGCUGAAGCUCUGCCUCUGGACUGUGGGGUCCUUCCCCGCCCCCUUCUCAUCUCCUUUUUAAUUUAACAAAUGUCACGGAAUGACCUGCCGGGUGUAAGUUUGCUUUGAGGAUUAGGGCCUGGAAAAUAAAUCAUGGAGAGACAAAGCCCUGAGUGUAGGGGGCAGGCCUGGGGCUCAGCUCUGGCCUCCACCUCCCCCCGCCUGCCUCUGCCACCACCCAGCUGGUGAUGGAGGCAGGAGCUCCAAGGCUCAGCCCACCCAGGAUAGAGGAAUGGGCCAGGGCCUCAGCGUCUUGGCUGGGUAGCCUUGGGCAAGUCACUCAACCUCUUUGAGCUUCAGUGUUCUCCUUUACAAAACUCAGAAAAUGACAGUGUCUGCUUCAUGAGGCUGCUGUGGGGAUAAAAAGCAUUAAUGCACACAGAGAGCUUAGCACAUGGUAAAGGCUUAAGAAGCGCCAGCUGCCAUUGGCACUCCUGGAAUUAUGGUCGGAGUUCUCAAGAACAGCAGCAGGGAGGCCUGGAGGACACGCUAGGGCUCCUUCUGGGCAGAAGGGCUUGACAAGACUGUUUCUAGCUGCUGCUGCCACAGAAACAGGGUCCAAUCCGCAAGAGGGCUGUGAAGAAAGCCCAGACACAGGACAGUAGAAACCAGCAACUAAACACACCUGUUUACCAGGAGCGCCCUGAGGGCGUGGCACAGUGUUCAACUGGUCGCCUCUCCUGAGCCUCACAGCUUCUCAAUAAGGAAGAUCUGAGGAGGAAACCGAGGCCCACCCCCACCCAGCCUGAGGGGCAGGACUCACUGCAAGUGGCCUCGGACUCAUCGGAGCCGUCAGGACACUCCUCCUCGCCAUCACACUUCCACCGCUCGUGGAUGCAGUGGCCGUUGUCACAGGUGAAGUCACUGUCCGCACAGGUCUUCUUGGCUGCAGGGGAAGGAGGAGAGCGUAGUGAGUCUGGGAGCAGUCAGGAGGGCGGUGGGGCAACCAGGAUGUGCUUGGUCUGCAAGCCGGACCACAGGGCUUCCCACAGCCCCACCAGGCCACAGACUGCCUUGCUGACCAAGGGCAGAGGACGGGAGAGACAAGCUUCUUUGUUCCUUAGGCAUCUGAACACUGCGUGAAGACAGGUGACAUUUUGCUCUGCCCUCCAAGUCCAAGAGCUCAAAUCCAGCAAACAUGACAAGACUUAUCAUACCCCUGUCACUCUCCUGCUUCCCUUCAAGGUCUAGUUCCACUGCCACUGCCUCCAGGAAGCCUUCCCUGAUAGCCUACAGCAGCUGCCUUAGCUCCUUCAGCCAGUUCUCAGUCUCUUUACCUGCCUGUCCCACUUUCCCCAACUGGACUGGAAGUCGAAGUCCCUUCUGCAGGCACCAGGCAGUUUGUGACCAUGAAUCCUACACCUAGAUGAUUCCUUUGUGGCAAGAUGAAUGAGAAUAGGGAGAGGAAGACAAAAGGCGGUGAGGAGGAGCAACAAGAAGUUAUAAUGUAUGAAGAACCCGCAGCAGACUCAGGCACAUGGCAGAUGCUGGAGAAGUGGCGGCUACUGUUGUUUUCAGGGUUUGAGUCUCAAUUAGAAGCUGAAGGAAUGGGGUUCUGUGCCCACACAGGGGAUAUAGCAGGCUGAGAGCUCACAGCUGGUAACAGAGCUGAGAUAAGAAUAUGGGUACCAUCCCCAGA